This 1071-nucleotide long non-coding RNA is filed under the name Cairina moschata (Muscovy duck). RNAcentral's name for it is "domestica (muscovy Duck (domestic type)) lncRNA (ENSCMMG00000007832.1)". The record is from RNAcentral. Lineage: Eukaryota; Metazoa; Chordata; Aves; Anseriformes; Anatidae.
UGCUUCCCAUGAGUAUGCUGCUGGGAAAGGAGCCCCUCCACUUUGCGGUUGCUCUUCUACAGCAGGAUGUGUAAUGGCUUCCAUUGUUGUGGAGAUUGAACUCAGACUAUCAAGUAUUCUCAGCACCACUGCCACCACACUGCCCCACUGCCUGAAAUGCUCCUGUAUGCCAUCAUCUCCUCGUAGUGCAGCAGGUGGACAUCCUGCUAUGGGGGCUGACACGGGCUAAGCGGCAUCUUCUUCCUUACGGAGAAGCUCAACCCCAUCAGCUAUGAUUUUAAAAUAUCUGGUGAUGAAAAUUCAUCUCAGUACCCAGACAAAAGCAGUACUCAGUCCUGGAAAACUCAAUGCAGUCCUUGAUCAUGAAGAGAUAAAGAAGAGUGGUUUGAAAGACAAGGACACUAGCAGAGGAACUCUUGCUGCUAGGGCGAUGAAGCAGUAGCAGCUCUUCCAAGCCUGCCCUCCUUCUCUGCCAGGAGUUACCUGCACACAGCAAGGACUGCUGAAGUGAACUUGCAUGCGUUAACUUAAACUGUAGCUGAUGGAUGCUCAUCGUGCUGUAUCAAGCUGAAACGGAGUUCCUUACAGCUCCUGUUUUGUGGAUGGAAACCACAAGCAGAGGCAUGGACAGACUGCUGGCACUGCUAACACCCACAGCAACCACUGCUAAAUGCCACAGAAACCAGCCAUCAGAGCCCUAAGGUUUCUUGAAAUGUAGUCCUUGCUCAAAAACUGUCCUCUCUUCAGCAAGAAAUACUGCUUAGAUCCUUCUGUUUAGUUUCAUCAGUAUAAACUGUGAAGACAAAGCAUAUUCAUUUAGUUCUGUAAGGACUGAUUAAUAAACAUGGGCAAAAAACCAACAGCAACUUCAUUUCACCAAAAACACAGAUUCAAGUCAACUGGCAUUCUUCACAAUACUACAAGGAUUUCUUUUCCCAGUAAGCUUUUUUUUCAGUUAAAAAGACUAAACCCAUUUGUUAAAAUGACUGUUUCACUUAGCACUUUCUAAGAAGAUGUUUUCAAAUCUGUAUUUUAAUUAAAAUCUAAGUGCAAAUAAAAACUGAAAACUGC